RNAcentral lists this ribosomal RNA (465 nucleotides) under uncultured Klebsiella sp. RNAcentral's name for it is "bacterial SSU rRNA". It matches the Rfam family "Bacterial small subunit ribosomal RNA", at positions 338 to 795 of the family's 1533-position model. Lineage: Bacteria; Pseudomonadati; Pseudomonadota; Gammaproteobacteria; Enterobacterales; Enterobacteriaceae. The record is from RNAcentral.
CCUACGGGUGGCAGCAGUGGGGAAUAUUGCACAAUGGGCGCAAGCCUGAUGCAGCCAUGCCGCGUGUGUAAAGAAGGCCUUCGGGUUGUAAAGCACUUUCAGCGGGGAGGAAGGCGGUGAGGUUAAUAACCUCAUCGAUUGACGUUACCCGCAGAAGAAGCACCGGCUAACUCCGUGCCAGCAGCCGCGGUAAUACGGAGGGUGCAAGCGUUAAUCGGAAUUACUGGGCGUAAAGCGCACGCAGGCGGUCUGUCAAGUCGGAUGUGAAAUCCCCGGGCUCAACCUGGGAACUGCAUUCGAAACUGGCAGGCUAGAGUCUUGUAGAGGGGGGUAGAAUUCCAGGUGUAGCGGUGAAAUGCGUAGAGAUCUGGAGGAAUACCGGUGGCGAAGGCGGCCCCCUGGACAAAGACUGACGCUCAGGUGCGAAGGCGUGGGGAGCAAACAGGAUUAGAUACCCCAGUAGUC